ACCGAUACGCUGCAUAUAAAUAUUAAAAAAUCUAUUCUCUCACGGCUUAAAUUUUUUUUUUUUUAAAAAAGAAUUGAGCUCCUAUGUUUUUAAAAGUAUCAAGUUAUUGAUGUUUGUAGAGAUGUGCGGUUAGGAUGAUGUGGGACCCCUAGGGUUGGCUGGGUUGUUGGUUGAAUAGUGUGAUUUAACGGGCGAAAAUGAUCAAAGCAAUAGAUCUAACGGUAACAAAUUUAUAGGCAUCACCAAGUGCUUGGUAUUUUUACAAACACCGUAGCCGGACUCUAAAAAAAAAAGAUAGUAUUUUAUUUAUUUUAAUAUGGUGUCAAAAUACGAGAUUCUAGGUUCCAGCAUUAUUAUUAUUAUUAUUAUUAUUUUUGAAGUUUUCGUUACACUCCUAACA
Molecule: long non-coding RNA, 400 nt
Filed under: Ananas comosus (pineapple)
Lineage: Eukaryota; Viridiplantae; Streptophyta; Magnoliopsida; Poales; Bromeliaceae
Description: long non-coding RNA (ACOM_LNC014250)
Source: RNAcentral